Molecule: ribosomal RNA, 234 nt
Filed under: Escherichia coli
Lineage: Bacteria; Pseudomonadati; Pseudomonadota; Gammaproteobacteria; Enterobacterales; Enterobacteriaceae
Description: partial 16S ribosomal RNA
Rfam family: Bacterial small subunit ribosomal RNA
Source: RNAcentral
AGAGGGGGACCUUCGGGCCUCUUGCCAUCGGAUGUGCCCAGAUGGGAUUAGCUAGUAGGUGGGGUAAAGGCUCACCUAGGCGACGAUCCCUAGCUGGUCUGAGAGGAUGACCAGCCACACUGGAACUGAGACACGGUCCAGACUCCUACGGGAGGCAGCAGUGGGGAAUAUUGCACAAUGGGCGCAAGCCUGAUGCAGCCAUGCCGCGUGUAUGAAGAAGGCCUUCGGGUUGUA